AGGAUUGUUUUGGUCAUUUGAGGUCCCUUGUAUUUCUACAGAAAAUUUUAGAUUGAGCUUGUCAAUUUUGGUGUAUAAAACAGUUGCUGUAGCUAGAACCUCCUGUAUAAUGCUGAAUAGAAGUGGUUCACCAGCACCUAAGUGGCACCCUUUUUCCUCCUGAGUGUUUCCAGCUGCCAUUUGGUAGACGGGAUGCCUUGUUUAUGUCCUAGUGGUCUUUAAAACUAAGCUUAGAGUGGAACAUUAGAAGUGGAAGUAACCUCAGAGGUCAUCAAGCUUUUCUCACCUUCCUCCUACCCUUUCAUUACGCAUAUGAGGAAACUGAGGUCCAGAAGACCCAUAGGGUAUGGCUAAUGGAGAAGAAAGGUGGCAAACUUUUUCAUUCAUUAAAAAUGUUUUUCAAUUACUAAAGUGAAGUCCUGCUGUGUCUGAUGGGGGGGAGGAAUAUUGGCAUCAUGUAGACACAGGAAAGACCUUGAAUCUGGAUAUUUUCUUCUAUUCCUAGUUUAAGUGUUUUUAUCAUGAAAGGGUGUUGGCUUUUGUCAAAUGCUUUUUCUGCAUGUACUGGGAUGCUCAUGUAUUUGUCCUUUAUCUAUUACAUGGAUUGAUGUUGGGAUGUUAAUCAACCUUGUAUUCCUUGGAUAAAUCCUACUAAGUCAUGGUGUAUAGCCUUUUUCGUAUGUUGGUAGAUUUGGUUUCUGAGUUUUGUGGGAUUUAUAUGUUGCCUUGGGUUGAAUGUCCCCCCAAAGCUUAAUCCCUGCUGUGACAAUGUCAAGAGGGUGACAAAUCCUAUUAUGGUAAUUGAAAGGUGAGGCCUUGAUGAGGUGAUUAGAUUGUAGGACCAUGCCUAGUGAAUGGAUUAAUAAUGGUGGUCAGGAGUGUGGUUAUGAGGGCUUUAAAAAGGGAGCAUGAAAAAUCUGUCUCUCUCUGCUCUGCUAUUUUCACAAUGUGAAACCCUGCCAUCCCUCUCGCAACUACCAAGACCUAGACCAGCUAUGUUCCCUGGACUUUGGACCU
Long non-coding RNA from Cynocephalus volans (Philippine flying lemur), 1017 nucleotides. RefSeq lists it as uncharacterized. The record is from RefSeq and is a predicted model, not a curated record. The transcript is spliced from 3 exons. Lineage: Eukaryota; Metazoa; Chordata; Mammalia; Dermoptera; Cynocephalidae.